Molecule: transfer RNA, 58 nt
Filed under: Salmo trutta (river trout)
Lineage: Eukaryota; Metazoa; Chordata; Actinopteri; Salmoniformes; Salmonidae
Rfam family: tRNA
About the family: Transfer RNA (tRNA) molecules are approximately 80 nucleotides in length.
Source: Rfam by way of RNAcentral
UGGCUCAGUUGGUAGAGGAUGGUGUUUGCAACGCCAGGGUUGUGGGUUCGAUUCCCAU